Molecule: ribosomal RNA, 267 nt
Filed under: uncultured bacterium
Lineage: Bacteria
Description: partial 16S ribosomal RNA
Rfam family: Bacterial small subunit ribosomal RNA
Source: RNAcentral
UGUUCCUACGGGGGGCAGCAGUGGGGGAUAUUGCACAAUGGGGGGAACCCUGAUGCAGCGACGCCGCGUGGGUAAAGGAGCGUUUCGGCGCGUAAAGCCCUAUCGGCAGGGAGGAAGAUGACGGUACCUGACCAAGAAGCCCCGGCUAACUACGUGCCAGCAGCCGCGGUAAUACGUAGGGGGCAAGCGUUAUCCGGAUCUACUGGGUGUAAAGGGAGCGUAGACGGCAUGGCAAGUCUGAAGUGAAAGCCCGGGGCUCAACCGCGG